This 253-nucleotide ribosomal RNA is filed under the name uncultured bacterium. RNAcentral's name for it is "partial 16S ribosomal RNA". It matches the Rfam family "Bacterial small subunit ribosomal RNA", at positions 524 to 776 of the family's 1533-position model. The record is from RNAcentral.
GACGGAGGAUGCAAGCGUUAUCCGGAAUGAUUGGGCGUAAAGCGUCCGCAGGUGGCAGUUCAAGUCUGCUGUCAAAGACCGGGGCUUAACUUCGGAAAGGCAGUGGAAACUGAACAGCUAGAGUAUGGUAGGGGCAGAGGGAAUUCCUGGUGUAGCGGCGAAAUGCGUAGAGAUCAGGAAGAACAUCGGUGGCGAAGGCGCUCUGCUGGACCAUAACUGACACUCAGGGACGAAAGCUAGGGGAGCGAAUGGG